GACGAACGCUGGCGGCGUGCUUAACACAUGCAAGUCGAACGGAAAGGCCUGCUUUCCCUUGUGGAUUGCGGGUACUCGAGUGGCGAACGGGUGAGUAACACGUGAGUGAUCUGCCCCCAACUUGGGUAUAAGCCUGGGAAACUGGGUCUAAUUCUCGAUAGGACUGUAGGGUGGUGCCUGUGGUGGAAAACGAUUUUCUAGUGGUCGGGGAUGAGCUCGCGGCCUAUCAGCUUGUUGGUGGGGUAAUGGCCUACCAAGGCGGAGACGGGUAGCCGGCCUGAGAGGGUGGACCGGCACAUUGAGACUGAGAUACGGCCCAGACUCCUACGGGAGGCAGCAGUGGGGAAUAUUGCACAAUGGGCGGAAGCCUAAUGCAGCGAAGCAGCGUGGGGGAUGACGGCCUUCGGGUUGUAAACUCCUUGCGACCGCGAGGAAGCCACCUGGUUGGAAGGGUGGUGACGGUAGUGGUAGAAGAAGCACCGGCUAACUACGUG
This 494-nucleotide ribosomal RNA is filed under the name uncultured bacterium. Its description in RNAcentral is "partial 16S ribosomal RNA". It matches the Rfam family "Bacterial small subunit ribosomal RNA", at positions 28 to 507 of the family's 1533-position model. The record is from RNAcentral.